Molecule: microRNA, 22 nt
Filed under: Gallus gallus (chicken)
Lineage: Eukaryota; Metazoa; Chordata; Aves; Galliformes; Phasianidae
Description: gga-miR-1804
Source: miRBase by way of RNAcentral
UCAGAAGUUGUGAAAGCUGCAG